ACGCUGGCGGCGUGCCUAAUACAUGCAGGUAGAACGCUGAAGAGAGGAGCUUGCUCUUCUUGGAUGAGUUGCGAACGGGUGAGUAACGCGUAGGUAACCUGCCUUGUAGCGGGGGAUAACUAUUGGAAACGAUAGCUAAUACCGCAUAACAAUGGAUGACACAUGUCAUUUAUUUGAAAGGGGCAAUUGCUCCACUACAAGAUGGACCUGCGUUGUAUUAGCUAGUAGGUGAGGUAACGGCUCACCUAGGCGACGAUACAUAGCCGACCUGAGAGGGUGAUCGGCCACACUGGGACUGAGACACGGCCCAGACUCCUACGGGAGGCAGCAGUAGGGAAUCUUCGGCAAUGGGGGCAACCCUGACCGAGCAACGCCGCGUGAGUGAAGAAGGUUUUCGGAUUGUAAAGCUCUGUUGUAAGCCAAGAACGAGUGUGAGAGUGGAAAGUUCACACUGUGACGGUAGCUUACCAGAAAGGGACGGCUAACUACGUGCCAGCAGCCGCGGUAAUACGUAGGUCCCGAGCGUUGUCCGGAUUUAUUGGGCGUAAAGCGAGCGCAGGCGGUUUGAUAAGUCUGAAGUUAAAGGCUGUGGCUCAACCGUAGUUCGCUUUGGAAACUGUCAAACUUGAGUGCAGAAGGGGAGAGUGGAAUUCCAUGUGUAGCGGUGGAAUGCGUAGAUAUAAGGAGGAACACCGGUGGCGAAAGCGGCUCUCUGGUCUGUAACUGACGCUGAGGCUCGAAAGCGUGGGGAGCGAACAGGAUUAGAUACCCUGGUAGUCCACGCCGUAAACGAUGAGUGCUAGGUGUUGGAUCCUUUCCGGGAUUCAGUGCCGCAGCUAACGCAUUAAGCACUCCGCCUGGGGAGUACGACCGCAAGGUUGAAACUCAAAGGAAUUGACGGGGGCCCGCACAAGCGGUGGAGCAU
Molecule: ribosomal RNA, 925 nt
Filed under: uncultured bacterium
Lineage: Bacteria
Description: bacterial SSU rRNA
Rfam family: Bacterial small subunit ribosomal RNA
Source: RNAcentral